This 405-nucleotide ribosomal RNA is filed under the name uncultured bacterium. RNAcentral's name for it is "bacterial SSU rRNA". It matches the Rfam family "Bacterial small subunit ribosomal RNA", at positions 355 to 776 of the family's 1533-position model. The record is from RNAcentral.
UCGGGAAUAUUGCGCAAUGGAGGGAACUCUGACGCAGUGACGCCGCGUAUAGGAAGAAGGUUUUCGGAUUGUAAACUAUUGUCUGCAGGGAAGAAAAAAGACAGUACCUGCAAAGAAAGCUCCGGCUAACUACGUGCCAGCAGCCGCGGUAAUACGUAGGGAGCAAGCGUUAUCCGGAUUUAUUGGGUGUAAAGGGUGCGUAGACGGGAAAUUAAGUUAGUUGUGAAAACCCUCGGCUCAACCGAGGAAGUGCAACUAAAACUGGUUUUCUUGAGUGCAGGAGAGGAAAGUGGAAUUCCUAGUGUAGCGGUGAAAUGCGUAGAUAUUAGGAGGAACACCAGUGGCGAAGGCGACUUUCUGGACUGUAACUGACGUUGAGGCACGAAAGUGUGGGGAGCAAACAGG